ACUGCUCAGUAACACGUGGACAACCUACCCUUUGGACGGGGAUAAACCCGGGAAACUGGGUAUAAUACCCGAUAGUCCUCGGAUGCUGGAAUGCCCCGAGGACGAAAGCUCCGGUGCCGAAGGAUGGGUCUGCGGCCUAUCAGGUAGUAGUGGGUGUAGCGUACCUACUAGCCUACGACGGGUACGGGUUGUGAGAGCAAGAGCCCGGAGAUGGAUUCUGAGACACGAAUCCAGGCCCUACGGGGUGCAGCAGGCGCGAAAACUUUACAAUGCCGGCAACGGCGAUAAGGGAACCUCGAGUGCCAGGUUACAAAUCUGGCUGUCGUGAUGCCUAAAAAGCAUUGCAUAGCAAGGGCCGGGCAAGACCGGUGCCAGCCGCCGCGGUAACACCGGCGGCUCGAGUGGUAACCGCUAUUAUUGGGUCUAAAGGGUCUGUAGCCGGCCGGAUAAGUCUUUUGGGAAAUCCGGCAGCUCAACUGUCGGGCUUUCAGGAGAUACUGUCUGGCUCGAGGCCGGGAGAGGUGAGAGGUACUUCAGGGGUAGGGGUGAAAUCUUGUAGUCCUUGAAGGACCACCAGUGGCGAAGGCGUCUCACCAGAACGGACCUGACGGCAAGGGACGAAAGCUAGGGGCACGAACCGGAUUAGAUACCCGGGUAGUCCUAGCCGUAAACGAUACUCGCUAGGUGUCGGCCACGGUGCGACCGUGGUCGGUGCCGUAGGGAAGCCGUGAAGCGAGCCACCUGGGAAGUACGGCCGCAAGGCUGAAACUUAAAGGAAUUGGCGGGGGAGCAC
Molecule: ribosomal RNA, 793 nt
Filed under: uncultured archaeon
Lineage: Archaea
Description: bacterial SSU rRNA
Rfam family: Archaeal small subunit ribosomal RNA
Source: RNAcentral